UUGAAUGUUUUCUAGGGUUCCGCAACAAUAAAUGUUGGUCUGGUCCGAGAGAAAACUCACAGCUAUGCUGUGCCACGGAAGGAUAAAAGCCUGGGAGAU
RNAcentral lists this small RNA (99 nucleotides) under Paenibacillus sp. Its description in RNAcentral is "Guanidine-I sequence". It matches the Rfam family "Guanidine-I riboswitch aptamer". From Rfam's summary of the family: This family represents a conserved RNA structure found upstream of the ykkC and yxkD genes in Bacillus subtilis and related genes in other bacteria. The function of this family is unclear although it has been suggested that it may function to switch on efflux pumps and detoxification systems in response to harmful environmental molecules. The record is from RNAcentral. Lineage: Bacteria; Bacillati; Bacillota; Bacilli; Caryophanales; Paenibacillaceae. RNAcentral also lists the same sequence under 1 other name.